This 585-nucleotide ribosomal RNA is filed under the name Triticum aestivum (bread wheat). RNAcentral describes it as "partial small subunit ribosomal RNA". Lineage: Eukaryota; Viridiplantae; Streptophyta; Magnoliopsida; Poales; Poaceae. The record is from RNAcentral.
AUGUUCAUCCCCUACCCCGAUCCAGAUCGGGAUUCCGAUCCAAAUCGACACCGUCCUCCCCUCCUCGCGCCAGAGAGAAGAGGAGGUGCGACCUCGACGCCGGGGGCUACUGCUGCUCCGGCUGGGCUACCCAGACCGCGCAUUACUCUAUACCGAGCAGGUCAUCCGGGAGUGGCCCGAGGAGCUGCGGGAAGCGACGGCGGGAACCUGCCAGAGCUGCAGGAGGCACGCUCCCUCUUCGCCGCCAAGUUCAACGCGCACCGGGAGUGGCCCGAGGAGCUGCGGGACGAGGCGGCAGGGCUCGUCUAUGCGGCCACCCGGUGCGGCGACCUGCCGGAGCUGAAGAGGCUCGCACCCUCCUCGCCGCCAAGUUCGAUGUGGAACGGGAGUGGCCCGAGGAGCUGCGUGAGACGGCGGCGGGGCUCGCCGCUCAUCUACGCCGGAGCUGUAGGAGGCCCGCGCCCACCUCGCCGCCAAGUUCGGCAGGGGGUUCGCUCCGCCGUUGCCGAGCUGCGACGCCGAGGUCGGGAUGCACGCCGCGCCUCGGGCCCAGCCUCUGGCGCCCUUGCUCGACAUCCGCAAUAG